Molecule: long non-coding RNA, 268 nt
Organism: Malurus melanocephalus (red-backed fairy wren)
Lineage: Eukaryota; Metazoa; Chordata; Aves; Passeriformes; Maluridae
Exons: 3
Source: RefSeq, a predicted model, not a curated record
AAUUCCCUGAGAAAUGAGCUUACUGCCCCACCAUGAAAUAAGGAAUUAAGAUUAUUGCACUUUACAGCUGUGAUGCUUGGAUGUUCAUCUACUCUUCUGGCUAAACUGGGGCAUCCAAGCUUGCAAAAGYCUUCUUUCAAGAGGUACUGAGGAUCUUCUGGCACAGAAACUCAAUGUGAAUGCCUCAUUGGGGAACAUCAGUAUAAGGCACAGCAGAAGUGGCACAUUAUGCUGCUACAGUUCAUGGGACGGAGGAUGAUGUUUGUAC